CAUUCAGACGGGCCGUGGGGUACUUAAAAUGUUCUGUUGUGUAUUUAACACACAGCCGAAAACAAUUUUUAUUGUAGGUGUUGCAUUGUGCUAAGAAAGCUGGUGUGACUUACAUCCUUAAAGCUGGAGGAGCACAGUCCAUAUCUGCUAUGACUUGGGGCGCAGAAUCUUGCCCAAAGGUUGAGAAGAUUUUUGGGCCUGGGAAUCAGUAUGUUACAGCAGCAAAAAUGAUUCUCCAAAACAGUGAAGCAAUGAUUUCAACUGACAUGCCUGCUGGUCCUUCAGAACUUUUGUCAUUGCAGACAAAUAUGCUAGUCAUGAUCAUAUAGCUGUAGAUUUGUUUUCUCAGCUCUUUAGAGAUGCAACCAUGGCGGAAGUGGAAGGCUUGGAAGCCCACAAGAGAUGGUAACUCUUAGAUUCAAGACAUUGAAGCCAGGCGAGUUGCCAACAUAAGUUAGGCUCCUUUUGUUUGUAUGUGUUUUCUGAUUGUUUUGAAAGCAGCCUCUCAUGUUUUCUCACCUGUAUGCAAAAUUUGUAUUAUUGCUAUUAGUGUUGAAAUUUUGUAUGUUGUAACAUGAUAUAGAUCUCAAAAUAUCAAUGUCUGAUCAAUAAAAUCUUUUAGAGUCGAGUUUAUUUUUA
Long non-coding RNA from Mangifera indica (mango), 639 nucleotides. RefSeq lists it as uncharacterized. Lineage: Eukaryota; Viridiplantae; Streptophyta; Magnoliopsida; Sapindales; Anacardiaceae. The transcript has 5 exons. The record is from RefSeq and is a predicted model, not a curated record.